AUGUUUUCAUAACUUCUUUAGAAUGACCUGAAAAAGUUCUUAUGUAAUUGUUUACAAAACUCUUAGAGAUACAGAAAGAAGGUGCCUACUAGAGUUGCUAAAAUUUAAUUAUUUCUUCUAGGAAAACAUCUAAUAAUACUAUGAGAGUUGGUACAGAUUAUCUAAAAUAAUACAAAAGGUUAUAUAAUAGUGUAACAUUGCCAAGAAGUGGAUUAUCUCAUCUUCAUCCUGUAAUUCCAGUGUUUGUCACAUGGUUGUUGAAUAAAUGAAUAAAGAAUGAAAAAGCCAGAAGCUCUGAUACAUAGUCAUAAUGACAAUUAUUUCAAUGCACAACUAUGGGUGGUGCUGAACUACAAUCUAUAUUUUCUGCAACUGGCUCCUCUAGGAUCUACUAAUGAUUUAAGUCUAAAAGAUGAAGUUAGUAAAGCAUCAGAAAAAAAGGUACUAACUUUUAUUUUAAAAUUAUAUAAUAUAAAAAAUUGUAAUAUUUUAUUACUGGAAUGCUUACUUGAACUUUUAAUGGUUUUUUAUUUAACAUAAAACAUAUAAAAAUUUUUCUUAAAAAGGAUAAUAUUUUUAUAUCAUACAUGUGUGGUGAAAAUUUAUGGCUGGGUGUGGUGGCUCACACCUGUAAUCCCA
RNAcentral lists this long non-coding RNA (639 nucleotides) under Rhinopithecus bieti (black snub-nosed monkey). Its description in RNAcentral is "lncRNA (ENSRBIG00000046633.1)". Lineage: Eukaryota; Metazoa; Chordata; Mammalia; Primates; Cercopithecidae. The record is from RNAcentral.